RNAcentral lists this ribosomal RNA (257 nucleotides) under uncultured bacterium. RNAcentral's name for it is "partial 16S ribosomal RNA". It matches the Rfam family "Bacterial small subunit ribosomal RNA", at positions 524 to 776 of the family's 1533-position model. The record is from RNAcentral.
UACAGAGGUCCCAAGCGUUGUUCGGAUUCACUGGGCGUAAAGGGUGCGCAGGUGGGUUUGCAAGUUCGAUGUGAAAGCCCCGGGCUUAACCCGGGAAUGGCAUUGGAUACUGCAGAUCUGGAGGAGUCGGAGGGGGGACUGGAAUUCUUGGUGUAGCAAGUGAAAUGCGUAGAUGAUCAAGAGGAACACCAGUGGCGAAGGCGAGUCCCUGGACGAUACCUGACACUGAGGCACGGAAAGCUAGGGGAGCAAACGGG